CCUACGUGAGGCAGCAGUGAGGAAUAUUGGUCAAUGGGCGCGAGCCUGAACCAGCCAAGUAGCGUGAAGGAUGAGUGCCCUACGGGUUGUAAACUUCUUUUAUAAAGGAAUAAAGUGCGGCACGUGUGCCUUUUUGUAUGUACUUUAUGAAUAAGGAUCGGCUAACUCCGUGCCAGCAGCCGCGGUAAUACGGAGGAUCCGAGCGUUAUCCGGAUUUAUUGGGUUUAAAGGGAGCGUAGGGGGGUUGUUAAGUCAGUGGUGAAAGUUUGCGGCUCAACCGUAAAAUUGCAGUUGAUACUGGCAGGCUUGAGUACAGUUGAGGCAGGCGGAAUGCGUGGUGUAGCGGUGAAAUGCUUAGAUAUCACGCAGAACUCCGAUUGCGAAGGCAGCUUACUAAGCUGUGACUGACACUGAUGCUCGAAAGUGUGGGUAUCAAACAGGAUUAGAUACCCCUGUAGUC
Molecule: ribosomal RNA, 460 nt
Filed under: uncultured bacterium
Lineage: Bacteria
Description: partial 16S ribosomal RNA
Rfam family: Bacterial small subunit ribosomal RNA
Source: RNAcentral